Molecule: non-coding RNA, 27 nt
Filed under: Rattus norvegicus (Norway rat)
Lineage: Eukaryota; Metazoa; Chordata; Mammalia; Rodentia; Muridae
Source: RNAcentral
UUGGAUUCUGUCAACUGACUAGGGUAG